This 692-nucleotide ribosomal RNA is filed under the name Agyrium rufum. RNAcentral's name for it is "SSU rRNA". It matches the Rfam family "Bacterial small subunit ribosomal RNA", at positions 374 to 1148 of the family's 1533-position model. The record is from RNAcentral. Lineage: Eukaryota; Fungi; Ascomycota; Lecanoromycetes; Pertusariales; Pertusariaceae.
GCCUAACGGCAGAACCAGCAACUUGGAGGAAUGUAAGUGAUUAGCACGUAAAAUUCUAGAUAAUUUAUGAUAAUGACAUUUAUUAUCUAUGUGUCUAGACCAAAUCACGUGCCAGCAGUCGCGGUAAUACGUGAAAGACUAGUGUUAUUCAUCUUUAAUUGGUUUAAAGGGUACCUAGACGGUAAAUAAAGCCCCGAAAGGGAACUGAUAUACUAGAGUUUAAAUAAGAGGGGGGGAGUACUUUUAAGUGUAAAGAUGAAAUUUUGUCAUACAAUUGGGAACAGGUAAAGGCGAAAGCGACCCUUUAUGUAAAAACUGACGUUGAGGGACGAAGGCUCGGGACACCAACAGGAUUAGAUACCCAAGUAAUCCGAGCAGAAAAUGAUGAAUGUCAUAGAUUAAAAUUUGAUCUAUAAAUGAAAGUGUAAGCAUUCCACCUCAAGAGUAAUGUGGCAACGCAGAAACUGAAAUCAUUAGACCGUUUCUGAAACCAGCAGUGAAGUAUGUUGUUUAAUUUGAUGAUCCGCAAAAGACCUCACCACAACUUGAAUAUUAUUAUAGUAAUACAAGCGUUGCACGGCUGUCUUCAGUUAAUGUCGUGAGACCUGGUUAAUUCCUGUUAAUUAACGUAAACCCUUUCUUUAUUUAUAUUAUAAAGUUGAUCGCCGCUAUAUUGGAUAUUAUAAGAGGGA